UGACUGGGGCGGUCGCCUCCUAAAAGGUAACGGAGGCGCUCAAAGGUUCCCUCAGAAUGGUUGGAAAUCAUUCAUAGAGUGUAAAGGCAUAAGGGAGCUUGACUGCGAGACCUACAAGUCGAGCAGGGUCGAAAGACGGACUUAGUGAUCCGGUGGUUCCGCAUGGAAGGGCCAUCGCUCAACGGAUAAAAGCUACCCCGGGGAUAACAGGCUUAUCUCCCCCAAGAGUUCACAUCGACGGGGAGGUUUGGCACCUCGAUGUCGGCUCAUCGCAUCCUGGGGCUGUAGUCGGUCCCAAGGGUUGGGCUGUUCGCCCAUUAAAGCGGUACGCGAGCUGGGUUCAGAACGUCGUGAGACAGUUCGGUCCCUAUCCGUCGUGGGCGUAGGAAAUUUGAGAGGAGCUGUCCUUAGUACGAGAGGACCGGGAUGGACAUACCUCUGGUGUACCAGUUGUCGUGCCAACGGCAUAGCUGGGUAGCUAUGUGUGGACGGGAUAAGUGCUGAAAGCAUCUAAGCAUGAAGCCCCCCUCAAGAUGAGAUUUCCCAACUUCGGUUAUAAGAUCCCUCAA
This 569-nucleotide ribosomal RNA is filed under the name Staphylococcus aureus. RNAcentral describes it as "partial 23S ribosomal RNA". It matches the Rfam family "Bacterial large subunit ribosomal RNA", at positions 2270 to 2841 of the family's 2925-position model. Lineage: Bacteria; Bacillati; Bacillota; Bacilli; Caryophanales; Staphylococcaceae. The record is from RNAcentral.